GUUUUCACUUCAGCAGCACAUACAGUAAAAUUAGAACAACACAAAGAAGACUAGCAUGGUCCC
This 63-nucleotide small nuclear RNA is filed under the name Mus pahari (shrew mouse). RNAcentral's name for it is "snRNA (MGP_PahariEiJ_G0033490.1)". The record is from RNAcentral. Lineage: Eukaryota; Metazoa; Chordata; Mammalia; Rodentia; Muridae.